CCACAUCACCAGCUUUCCUGGCUUUCCUGCUUGUCAACUGCAGAUCUUGGGACUGAUCACAUGAUUCAAUUACUCAUAAGUCACAUGCAUAUGACUAGUCUCUUCUGUAGUUGUCAGGGUUCUCCAGAGAAACAGAAACAGAAGCAAUAGGAGAUAUAUCUCUUAUUACAUUAAGUCUCCUAUUGCUUCUGUUUCUCUGGAGAACUCUAAUACAUAAAAGAUUAUGAUUAGAAUUAUGCUUGAAGAAGGUUAAUCUUAUAAUGGCAUGCAGAGCGGAGCUGGGCAAGGCCAGAGGCUAAAUAUGGAGCCAGAAAGAUACUGCAGAAAGUGAGCAAAAAGGAUGAGUGGAUGGCCUGGGGUGGAAUCCGUGAAAAAGGGCAGAUUGUCAGUCUCAGGAAAUCAACAGGACUGAGUUCUAACUUCAGCUGGGCUACUAUGCCCUGGGGAAUCAGAAGAUUCUCCCUAACAUUGGAGUCCAAAGAAGAGGAGCCACCAUCUCCUUAACUACAAAACAACUGAGAGAAGAAAUGUCUCCCUUUAGUGCCAGUGAAGAGUUUUGCUUCUCUAGAACAACUGUUUAUUUUUGAUCUUAUGAAACGCGUGACACUUGUAACUGAUUUGCCUUCUUUUUGCUUGCUGCUAGAAAUCUCAGAACCAAAUUCGAGGUCAUUUCUGAAUGUGCUGGACUACACAGCAUGAAUUCUGUGUCCUCUCACCUCAUUCAUAGAUACAUUUUUUUAUUCCUACCCAUCUUUUCCUUUCCCCAGAUUUUCCUAUUGCUCUUUUAUCAUCUUGAGUAAAGAAGGUUAAACUAUGAAUAAAAAGUACAAUCUCAAUGACGAGUCAGGGAAAAGUAAGUUUUGGACUUCCAUUUAGAGCCAUUUAUAGGUCAGCAAUCUUUUGUCUCUGUGUCUUCUUUCUGCCCUGAACAACCAAGGCAUCCUAGUCAGUCUCUCUUCAUCUGCAUACCACUUUAAAGAGCCCAGGGGUCUUCCAAGUACAGUCACUACUAAGAAAAUGUCUUCAGUAAAUUUUUUUUUUUUUUUUUUGAGAUGGAGUCUCGCUCUGUCGCCCAGGCUGGAAUGUAGUGGCACGAUCUCAGCUCACUGCAAGCUCUGCCUCCCGGGUUCACGCCAUCCUCCUGCCUCAGCCUCCCAAGUAGCUGAGACUACAGGCACCUGCCACCAUGCCCGGCUAAUUUUUUUUGUAUUUUUAGUAGAGACGGGGUUUCACUGUAUUAGCCAGGAUGGUCUUAAUCUCCUGACCUCAUGAUCCGCCCGCCUCGGCCUCCCAAAGUGCUGGGAUUACAGGCGUGAGCCCCCGCGCCCAGCCUUCAGUAAAAUUUUAAUGCAUGUUGCUUAUCAUUCUUUGUAUUGUAAGCACCAAUCCUUAAUCUGUGCUGUGGUUUUUGUUCAGAAACAUUUCUUUAAAAAAAUUUCCCCAGACGCUCAGCCUUCAUAUUCUAAUCUUUAUUAUUCUGAACUACCUACAAAGCUAAAUAUACCUUGUCUACAUGCAGUGCUUAUGUAACAAUGGUGCUUAUUUUGUUUUACAUUGCUUCAACCUCUGACCAGAAACUUAGAGGACAGAAUGCCCUGCUUUUACAAAAAAUGUGGUGACCACAACGGUAACCUUAUCUAAUUGAGACCAUUUUAGGAAGGAGGGGAGGAGAUAUUUUUACUGCAAAGACUGAGUCAUAAGCCUUCAUUUUUUACCCUGGGUUGUGCAGAAACUUUAAACUUUCUAUAUUAUUUCAUUUCUUCCAUACCAGGACAUUUAUUUCCUAUUCAGUGACAAUCUUGAUGUCUUCAUCCUUCAAACUGCUCUCUAACAUAGUUUCAAAAUCCAAGCAUUAAACAUUAUUAAUGCUCAGGGGAUGAAUAUGUUCAUUACCUUUACUGUAGUGAUGAUUUCCUAUGGCAAAAUGUUAAAUGAUGUAAAGAUAAAAAUAAUUAUCAUAGUUAUUAAUCAUAGCAAUAAAACUGGACUACCUAAAGCACAGUUUAUGGUAUAAUAUUUAUGAAUUAAGAGCAACACAAAUAAUAAUGUUAAUUGCUCACCUACAGAUGAAUGCAAAUGAGGAUAUAACAGAGUCGAAAUAAACUAAGCAAAGGAAACAAUG
This 2122-nucleotide long non-coding RNA is filed under the name Homo sapiens (human). Its description in RNAcentral is "HSALNT0340448". Lineage: Eukaryota; Metazoa; Chordata; Mammalia; Primates; Hominidae. The record is from RNAcentral.